RNAcentral lists this ribosomal RNA (471 nucleotides) under uncultured bacterium. RNAcentral's name for it is "SSU rRNA". It matches the Rfam family "Bacterial small subunit ribosomal RNA", at positions 26 to 518 of the family's 1533-position model. The record is from RNAcentral.
AGGACGAACGCUGGCGGCGUGCUUAACACAUGCAAGUCGAGCGGAAAGGCCCUUCGGGGUACUCGAGCGGCGAACGGGUGAGUAACACGUGAGUAAUCUGCCCCUAGCUCUGGGAUAGCUCCGGGAAACCGGGAUUAAUACCAGAUACGACCACUUUAGACAUCUGUUGUGGUGGAAAGAAUUUUGGCUAGGGAUGAGCUCGCGGCCUAUCAGCUUGUUGGUGAGGUAACGGCUCACCAAGGCGACGACGGGUAGCCGGCCUGAGAGGGCGACCGGCCACACUGGGACUGAGACACGGCCCCAGACUCCUACGGGAGGCAGCAGUGGGGAAUAUUGCGCAAUGGGCGAAAGCCUGACGCAGCGACGCCGCGUGGGGGAUGAAGGCCUUCGGUUGUAAACCCUUUCAGCAGGACGAAGCGAAAGUGACGGUACCUGCAGAAGAAGCGCGGCUAACUACGCGCCAGCAGCCGC